This is a long non-coding RNA of Doryrhamphus excisus (bluestripe pipefish), 668 nucleotides long. RefSeq lists it as uncharacterized. The record is from RefSeq and is a predicted model, not a curated record. Lineage: Eukaryota; Metazoa; Chordata; Actinopteri; Syngnathiformes; Syngnathidae.
GAUUGCAUGCAUGCAGAUGCAAAGCAAAAAGGAUAAAAGAAGAUAAAGAAGCAAGUCAAACAGGGACAGGCAGCAGAUCCACAGCAACAGAUAAAGCUGAGUGUCACCACAUCCCCCCCUCCAGCCCUCCAGCCUCAUCAGGGCUGAGCCUUGCAGACGUCAAGUGUUAAUUUAGGGCUCCCGCCGAGCGUGAGGCUGUCAGGGACGUUGCUUGCAGGAGGGAGGUGAGCUCUUGCAGAAAAUGACCCUUCUGCUCUGAUUGUCUUCUGGCCCGCAGACUGCCACUGAGGGGGAAAAACAAAGGCGCAGGCAGAGAGAGGGAGAGGCGGCUGAGUGCUAAUGCAUCUCACAGCAAUUAGAGAAGCUUACCUGACUGCAUGAGCACUGCACACAAUAACAGACACGGAAGAGAUGGCCGCUAACAAGCCAGCGAGGUAACCACUUCCACACAGAAUGGGAGGAGCACUUUUUUCACUCCAUCGUGUCGGACAUGCCAUGGCUGACUUAAGACCUGCAGCGGGAACAACUUGACGAUGAAGACAUUUCUCUUGUCAUUUUCUGCAGUACUUCACUAUAAUUUCUUUUUUUUUUUCACUCUGCCCUCUAUUCCCCCCACCCCCAAGCGUCUGCAGUAUGUGGCAGGCUGAAUUGUGUGUUAUUACCCAGCA